Molecule: unclassified non-coding RNA, 399 nt
Filed under: uncultured fungus
Lineage: Eukaryota; Fungi
Description: sequence contains ITS1
Rfam family: 5.8S ribosomal RNA (bases 1-105)
Source: RNAcentral
GAAAUGCGAUAAGUAAUGUGAAUUGCAGAAUUCCGUGAAUCAUUAAAUCUUUGAACGCACAUUGCGCUCUAUGGUACUCCGUAGAGCAUGUCUGUUUGAGAAUCAGUUUAAUUCUCACCCUUUUUGAUGCUGUUAAAGCGGAUAACUGGGUGGAUCUUGGGACGUUUCUGGAAACAGAAUGUACCUUGAAUUCAAACUUUCCGGGUGCUCUGGAAGACUCCCACUAUGGGCUUCUAUCAAAGGCAUGAUUAAUAAAGGACACGUUCCUUUUCUUCAUUGCUGAACGAUGGUAGUCCGAGGGAUUUGGAAAGGCAAGCGGCGAGAAAAUUUGACACGGGGCGGCAUUGUCGCUCUAAGACAUUUGAUCUCAAAUCAGACAAGACUACCCGCUGAACUUAA